CGUUUUAGAAACAUCAGUGGCCAACAGAUCGCCAGAUCGUUGAGCUGCAUUGGCGGGAUUUCGCCGUCUUCGUUUCUCUUUCUUCGCGGACGAACACGCGCUGGGGCUGCAAGUUGCAGAAUCCCUGGUCCUUAACAGGAUAUGCGUUAGGGGCUUGUAGCUCAGUUGGUUAGAGCGCGCGCUUGAUAAGCGUGAGGUCGGAAGUUCAAGUCUUCCCAGGCCCACCACUUUCAUCGAGUGAGCAUUCGUCUUCUGGUUACGGGGCCAUAGCUCAGCUGGGAGAGCGCGUGCUUUGCAAGCAUGAGGUCGUCGGUUCGAUCCCGUCUGGCUCCACCAGAUGGUUUGAUCACCGAGAUCUUGUACCGUCGUCCGCGAAACAUCACUUCGCACUUACUAGUCUGGAUAGACAGUAAGCUGCGUGAUUUCUGACAUCGUAAAGAGGAGAUCGAUCCGAGUUGGAUCGUGCGGCAAGCAAUUGCCACGCGAGACUUCAUUAUCUCCGGAUCAUUUUCGGCGCUCGACGCUGACCGCAAGGUUGGCUGCGAGUUGUAAAAUGAUCCUUUUAGCGAAGCUUGACCGCCUCGCUAUCGGAACGAUCUUACGAAGCAAGCUGGUCUUUCUAGUCAAUGUCCGGCUGUACGUAGCAUUCAUCGAGGGUGCGCGCCGCAAGGCAAUCGUACAGACAACAUUCUGCCGAGUGUGUGGACAUUGAUAAUGAGAGCAAUCAAGUGCCUUAAGGGUGUUCGGUG
Molecule: transfer RNA, 749 nt
Filed under: Bradyrhizobium sp. SEMIA 929
Lineage: Bacteria; Pseudomonadati; Pseudomonadota; Alphaproteobacteria; Hyphomicrobiales; Nitrobacteraceae
Description: partial contains 16S-23S ribosomal RNA intergenic spacer and 23S ribosomal RNA
Rfam family: tRNA (bases 151-224)
Source: RNAcentral